Molecule: long non-coding RNA, 8378 nt
Filed under: Lactuca sativa (garden lettuce)
Lineage: Eukaryota; Viridiplantae; Streptophyta; Magnoliopsida; Asterales; Asteraceae
Description: long non-coding RNA (LSAT_LNC003207)
Source: RNAcentral
GAGCUAGUAGGGGGAGAUAGUAGAGACUUCUUAUGCAACUGAUAGCAGAGAGUGGGUUGGUGAUUACCUUAGGGCAAGGCUAGGAUGAGAUUAGCGUGAGAACAACAGUAGUAGUAGAAGGGACUUGGUGGAGUCAAGGUAGUUCUUGAGGAAAGUAUGGAUAGAUGUGGAUGGUAGUAUGGGCCCGUACUACUGAAAGUAGAAGAACCGUACUCGAAUCAAGGAAGGCUGAGAUGAACCAUGUAAACUUGUAGUGUGUGAGAUCCUUCGAGUGAUGAUAUUGUUGGAUUAAUGUCUAAGUCCAUAACUAUAAUUGGUAAGACUUGACCCCACCCGGCAUGGUCCAUUUGGGUUGCAUACCAUCAUGCACUUGGAUAGACUUUAAUGAGAGAAAUAAGACACUUAUGGUUAUUAAUAUAUUAUAAGUUCUAGUAUAUUAAUAAUAAGAAUAAUAAGAUUAUUUAAUUAGUAUUGAUCAAGAAUUAAUCUAGGAUUAAUUAAGUGAUCAAAAGAAGACUAAUUAAAUAUAUGGGUUGAUUGUGUAAAUCAUCCAUACUUGUAUAGUGGGCUAAUGCUCCAUGGAUAAUCAAGUUGGGCUAAAACCCAUAGGAUGGCCCAUGGAUGCUCCAUGGUGUAUUUGUACCCAUGGAUCAUGGAAAUGAAAGGCCAUGUCAAUUAGGGUUUACAUGGUGUAACCCUAACUAUAUAAGCAUCUUAUUCUUGACCAAAUCGGCCACUAGUGUGUGAAGUAAAAGGGCUAGCCGAUUUCAUGAGUUGUAGAAUUCUCUCAAGUUAUUCUAAGUGUUUUGGUGAUUGUGAUUCCAUUUGAGGCUUCCACACUAUUGGGGCUAGGCACUCAAGCUUCAUGAAGACUUUCUACAUCAAAGAGGUAUGUAUUCUAUCUUGUUACACUCAUUGUUUUUGUAUGCUAGAUUAGGAUUAUACCUUGGAAGUUCUUAUUUGCAUGUAUAAUAGAGAAAACAUAGAUCCAAGGUAUUUAGGGUUGCAUGUACACUUAGGAGUGUUAGAAUGCUCAAAACCCAACAGUGGUAUCAGAGCCUAGGCUUGUUUUCUUGUUAUACCUGCAAUAGAAGCUGAAAAAACGAAUUUGGUGCUGUCUGAUCAUCUGACUCGGCGAGUCCAUCAGGAGACUCGGCGAGUCCAUGCCUAAAAAGUGAUGAAUUCGAUCCAACUCGCCGAGUUGGUUCAUGCACUCGACGAGUUGGACCCCCAGACAGCAUAUUUUCGAGUUUUUUGGCUAGAAAUGGACUAGGAACAUUACCCUAAGUUGUUUUUGAACUUAUAAACUUGUUUUUGAUGUGGUAAUGUUCAUGCUAAUCCAUUUUCAAAGAUAAUUGUCAAUAGAUUCAUGUUUUGUAUUAGUUUAAGGUUUAGACUAAUUACAUGAAAAAGUUUGAUUUGAAUUAUCUUGUUCUUAUGAGUUGCUUAGAUUAAUAGAAAAGUUGAGUGAAAUAGUUGUUUUCAAUCCAUUUUAAUCUAAGAGUUGAGUAUAAAAUGUGUUUGUGUAACUUGUCCUCAAGUUACAUGAAGAGUCACAUUAAAGACUCAUAAAACUCAUAAAAGUUGGCAAUGGUUACAAAAUGAAGAGUCUUGUGUCAUUGAAUAAUUUUUUUUGACUCCAUAACUUGUCCUCAAGUUAUGGAAGUUCAAGAGUCACUUCAUUAAAGAAAAAUAUGUAACCAUAAUUAAAUCCAUAAGUUAUAAAAUAAAGAAAAAGUUAGUUCUUUUAUUAGUUUAAAGUCUUCCAUAACUUGUCCUCAAGUUAUGGAACUUGAAGAGUUUUUGGAUUAAAACUACUUUAAACACAUAAGUUAUGGAAUUAAUUAGUUUUGAAUAGUUUCAAAACUUGCCCUCAAGUUUUGGAAUUUGAAAAGUUUUCACUUAUGAAUACUUUAAUUCCAAGUUAGCCCUUAGAAUUUUAAAAGUUAAAAUUCAACCCUUAUACUUUAUAAUAUUAUAAGUUAAUAAUAUAUAUAUGUAUAAGAGUAAAGUCAGUCUUACCGCUAGUACGCCUCAUUCACGAAGCCGGUCUAUAAGGUGGGUAUAAGGUUGUUGCCUAUAAAAUGGCAACUUAAUGGGUGUCCACUCUCACCCACCGCUUGCUUGACUGGUGGAGGGUCGUUAGCCGAACGGGUUUGACAGGACUAGAAUUCUCCCUUCAUUAAAAGUAUUAAUGAUAAUACUAAGUAACUAAACUCUUAAUAAUACCCAAUCUUAGUUACUUAGGAAAAAUGUGAAUAAGGUGCUAAUCCAUGAAAUUACACUUUACACUUUGUCUAAGUCGUUAGUGGAGCGUGUGUGGUUAACCGGCACACUAACUUGGACUUAACAAGGUAGGUAAAGGGUGACUUAAUAUUUAUCAUAGUAUCGAUGGAGCGUGUGUGGUUAACCGGCACAUCGAUUGAGGGGUAAUUUAUUAAGGGUACCAAGUGAUUUGCAUGGUUACUUCACACCUUGUUUUGUGAUCCUCGGCAUCCCAGUCACAAAACCUGAAGGGCACACUCGAGAUUGAAACAUGCCUUUGAAAAGUUCAAUGAAUCUCAAAGAUCUAGGAGUUUCAAAACCAAUUAAAACCUAAUAAUACAUUUCGUUUAUCUUGGUGGAAAUUGGUGAAUCGUCAUUCACCUACCUUCAAAUAUUUUAUAGCUUGGAUUACGGCAUACCUCUUCUAAGUUAUAAAAUAGUUUGUUGGGUCCUAGCCUUAAUAUUUCAUAUUGGGUGUCAUAUUAAGGACUUUAAAUCAACUAUCUUGAAUAUCUCCCAAAAGAUGUCUGGUUUAGACACCUAUGAUCUUCCCAAAUCUCUUGAAACAAGGUUUCCUAAUGAAGAUGAUGUCCCAUGGAUAUCAUACUUCUUCACCUCUUCAAAUUAUUCUCCCUAACCCACAAGUUCUUGAAAAGUUUAAGGUCACUCAGGCCCUAUUGGCAAGGCAAGGUCUAGGUGUGGUCACAUCUUGGAGAUGUAGUCACAUAUUGACAAGCCGGGAGAGUUGGGUGUCAAAGUCUUGAGAAAGUUGGUGGUUCAACCACUUUCUAAGUCACAUAGUGAGUUCCUUUGGGACACCUAUGAAACAGACUAUGACAAGACCCUUAAUGAUCUUAUCUAUUUGCUAAGAUCAACUUCCUAAAACUUUAUGGACAUUGACAAUGAUGACAUUGGAUAUCCAGUAAAGCAUUCUCUUCCCAAUGGAAAGGGAUCGGCCAUAGUCAACUCGGUUGACCAAAUGGUAAAGAGAAAAGCUAAGUCUGUGAUAGUCCCGUGUACCAUUAUAUAAGGCUCCAUAUGUUUAUAUUGCCAAAGGAAGGGAAAUUGGUUACGAAUCUACAAAUUUACCUAAGGAUGUUAAAGUCAAUAAGUUUGACUCUACUUCAGGUAAAAUCCACUAUCUAACUCUGUUAAGUUUCUAUUCUGAGAUUCUUGAUACAUGAUGUGACCGGGUCGCAUGGUGAUGGUUUAAGAAUCAAAGGAAAGUGAAGAAACUUAAAGGAAGAAUAUGCUGAAUCUGAUCGCAUAGAUGGAUUUCUAUCGCGUAGUUUGAAGAUCGGAUUCUUGAGCUACUUCUUAGGAGUUAUGAGAUAUUGCUUAGGAAUAGAUAACAACAAGUUUUCAUAUGGAUUGUAAGGAUAAGUUUUUCCGCAAAGUUUUAAAAUAAAAGAAAAAUUUUAGAUGUUAUUUAUUUUUAAAAUAUUCUUACAAUGGCAUUUGGGAAAAAAUUGUUGCUUAUAUGAUUCCAAUAAUAGCAAGAGUGGAAAUAUGAAAUUGAUUCUUUCAUUUGUGGUAAUGUCUAAAUUUACCAAAUAAGGAAAGAUUCUCAUCACCCAAGUUUCAAGUGGACCGGAACUUGGAAUCAUGCAAGUUGUAUAGCAUGAUGAAUGAGAACUUUCAAGUAUUGGAAAAAUUAAGACUAAUUACUCGGUCACAUGGAUGUGUGAGUCAAGUAAAGGACUAAGGGAUCGAGUACACAUUCUUGUACACUGAUUUAGUCCACCACAAAAGAUUGACUAUUCGUCAUAGUUUACUAAAGCUCAGUAAAUAUGAUUAUACUUACAAGCUUAAGUGUAACUCUGAGACAUUGGAAAAGGUUCCAAUGUAUGGCAGGGCGAAUAAGAAGAAUCAAAUUAGGCAGAAGGAUAAAAGUUUCUCAUAUCUGAAAAGAUGGGAGAGUACUUUAGUAUCAGUUUUGUGAUCAUCUUAAUGAUUAAGAAACCAUAUCAAAAUUAGUUCUCUAAGGAAAUCUUAGUGCAUUCUUAUGACUAAGAAGAGGAACUUGAAUUGUUGAAAUGGUUAAAUCAAGAAGAUGAGUCAUACUUCGUUCCAAUACAAGUCUUAGAGUCAUACUCCAAGAUUGUAACUUGAGUGACAUGUCUCAAAAGAAGGUUUAAAACACUUGUCAAAUGUAAGAGUAAAAGUUUUCUACUCUUGUACAUUUGAAAUUGGUAAGUUGUGAUGUUUUGGAUAAAACAAAGACCAACUUAGGCCAAUUGGGUAAAGUGUUUUUCUUGAUUAGAAUCCGCACUAUCUCUUGGAUGUUUGACAAGGGAGUCUUAUAUGUCAAGAGGACAGUGGGAGUCUUAAAGGUCUUGAAAGUCUCAAGAAAUAAUCAAGAAUAAAACCUGAAGUUCUUCACUAGCACACGACUUGAGGUUUAUAACCUAUCGUGUUGACAUAUCUGUGCCCAUUCCAGUUAAAGUUGGCUUUGCAUAUGAGUUCUUAGAGUUCUCAGUUUGUUGCAUAACAACUUGGAAGCAAUGGCAGGCCCUUGAGCUGCCAGGUGGCAAGAAGUUAAGAUUGAGUUCAAUCCAUAUGGUUUUGGAUUUGUCAUUAUCUUUGUCUUGUGAUUAUGGUUUGACAAAUUCAUAUGGGUAGGAACUCAUACACCAUAUAAAUCUAAGUGUCAUAAGGUUUCUCUCCGAUUCAUGAAAAUGAUGGUGAGGAAACGCUUUCACUAAGUAGAUUUUACGAAGAUAUCAAUUGUGUUAUUUGCAUUUUCAAAAGUCGUUAGUGGAGCGCGUGUGGUUAACCGGCACACUAACAUGGACUUGUGAGAAAUGGCAAAUGCCUAAGCAAUUGAGACCAUGAUUACGGUAUCCCUUUUCAUGGUUCUUGAAAUUGCUUAGACACACAGGUGAGCUAUCUACGGAAAGGGUGUAUGAAUCUAAAUUUCAGACUGUCCAGCUGAUUUCUGAGUACAUGUCAAAGCUAGUGGGAGCAUAAGUGUUAUGCUAAUAAUCAUCAUGUUAGUGGGAGCAUGAUAAUUAUGAUAAGUAUUGCAAGUUAGCAAUGUUAAUUAUAGAAAACAAAAGUUUCAAUUGGGAAAAAGUUGUUUUGCUAUAAUUAAGGGAGAGGAAAUUAUGCUUCAUCUCAAAUCUAUAAGCUUAGAUCGUGAGGUUUUAAUCAUUUAGUCAAGGAUAUAUAUGAAUUUCAUGUUGGAAUGGCUCAACAUAAGGAAAUUCUGUAUAUGGGUCCAUUAUUUGCGUUCUAAAAUUCGAUUAUGAUUACGGCAUCCCUUUUCAUAAUCUGAAUUAUGAGAACUUGGCAAAUUGAAAUGGAAAUAUUAUAGCAAAAGACUGGUUUAGUCUUUAUGUAAGACAUCAUGAAUCGUGUCCCAUAUGCUUCGGAUAUAGGAUCGAUUACAUGUGCUAUAUUCAUCCGUUCUAAAAUUUUCCAAAUGCCUGGGGCAUUAAGAAGGGAAAAGGUUUAGAACUGGAUAUGACUAAAAGGAUUAAACAAUUGUCGAGGACAAUCUAAGGUUUACCAAAGAUUGGUUACUCAAGGACAAUUGGAAGUAUAGUGAUAAUUCUGGAAGGACCAUAUUGACAUAAUCUGUAAGGAGGCAACUCUUGUUCAGAAGUGAUAGUCAAAAUGGAAUCUGGAAAUGUUUCAAAGUUAGAAUUUUCAAUCUGUGUAAGAUUAAGGAAACUUAAUGCAAGAAGGAUAUUUCCAAGGAGUUGAUCUCCUUUGGAAUACUCUGUAAUGAUUGUUGCCAAGUCUUUGUGACUUUGUGCAUAAUCAUUACAAGAGGAUCAAUGCAUAUAAGUUUAGAAUCUAACAGAUUUCAGUAAAUGGCAUGAAUUUGGAAUUCUUGCAUUUGCAGUAAGGAUUUGGGAGUGUGAAAAGAGAAUCAUUGAAGUUAUGUUCAAUUGAUCUAGUUCACAAAGUAAAGAUCAUAGACAAACAUAGUAUGCAUACUUGGUGUGUGGCAUGACUAGUGUUUAAGAAAACAUAGUGUACAUGCUUGGAGCAUGGGACAACUAUUGUUUUAAAUUCAAGAAUAAAGUUGAUAGCUGAAACAGUAUACAAUGAAUAAUGUGUAAUCAUAUGGUGAUAAAUAAAAGGUGUUUUAUUUAUGUUCAAAGGGUUGAUACCAUAUUGGAUUCAAUUAUUAUUGUGUUUCAUUUUGCAUGUUUUGACUUCCCGAAUAAACUGGGUUAUUCUUCCGGAAUGACUAAGUUAUUCAAACCAUCCACAGUCGGUCAUAUGUUGGAAGUAGAUAUGAAUUAAGACUGUCAUGGGUUGGCUUGUAGAGGUCUAAGGUGUUGGACAAAGGGCUACAACACUCAUGAGUGCUCAUAAGUUCUGAGUAUUGGAUUCAACCCGCGCUCAUUGGAAUCACUUCAUGGAUUUUAUCACGAGUGAUCAUGAGACGAUAAUAUCUUAUAUUCUUCAAACCUAGAGAUAUGAGUUGUUACUAUGAGUUGAUAGUACAUUGAUUGCACGAAAACGCAUUUGGUAACUCGGUGCUAUAAAACGUGCCUUUGUGUAUGAUUCAACAAGUAGUAGAACAAGCCAUAUGAGUCGAAGUUUAUCCAUUCCUUUUACCUUCGGGAUAAAAGCGAUAUCUGUGGGCCCCUCGAUGAUUUGAUGAUGACAAAUGGAAGUGCUCGGCCGGGCCAGGACUGAUUUGAUUUGUUCAAUUAGUCAGUCGUCAUAAAUCGGAAAUCGGGAAACAACAAAUGGACAGAGAGAAUGAUUAUAAUCCAUGUCUCAGUCCAUAUGAUAUCUAGAAUGGAGGAAUAUAUGAUCCCUUAUCUAAUGGACAAGUCAUUGACAAAGGUCAGAGUUCAUCUACAAGGUCAGAGUUCGACAGAAGCUUUUGAGAGCUACGAUUGCCAGUUGGUUCCUGAAGUCAUACGCAAUAAUAGUUUUAGACUUAUCCAAGUGGGAGACUGUUGGAUUAAUGUCUAAGUCCAUAACUAUAAUUGGUAAGACUUGACCCGACCCGGCAUGGUCCAUUUGGGUUGCAUACCAUCAUGCACUUGGAUAGACUAUAAUGAGAGAAAUAAGACACUUAUGGUUAUUAAUAUAUUAUAAGUUCUAGUAUAUUAAUAAUAAGAAUAAUAAGAUUAUUUAAUUAGUAUUGAUCAAGAAUUAAUCUAGGAUUAAUUAAGUGAUCAAAAGAAGACUAAUUAAAUAUAUGGGUUGAUUGUGUAAAUCAUCCAUACUUGUAUAGUGGGCUAAUGCUCCAUGGAUAAUCAAGUUGGGCUAAAACCCAUAGGAUGGUCCAUGGAUGCUCCAUGGUGUAUUUGUACCCAUGGAUCAUGGAAAUGAAAGGCCAUGUCAAUUAGGGUUUACAUGGUGUAACCCUAACUAUAUAAGCAUCUUAUUCUUGACCAAAUCGGCCACUAGUGUGUGAAUUAAAAGGGCUAGCUGAUUUGAUGAAGUGUAGAAUUCUCUCAAGUUAUUCUAAGUGUUUUGGUGAAUUGUGAUUCCAUUUGAGGCUUCCACACUAUUGGGGCUAGGCACUCAAGCUUCAUGAAGACUUUCUACAUCAAAGAGGUAUGUAUUCUAUCUUGUUACACUCAUUGUUUUUGUAUGCUAGAUUAGGAUUAUACCUUGGAAGUUCUUAUUUGCAUGUAUAAUAGAGAAAACAUAGAUCCAAGGUAUUUAGGGUUGCAUGUACACUUAGGAGUGUUAGAAUGCUCAAAACCCAACAGAUAUGUAUACUGAUGUUUGUUAUGUUGCAUUUUCAGUAUGGUGACGCUACGCACUAGACCAGUUGGCACUUCAGGCACUGGUGACGGAUCAUGAUUGGGCUCUAGAGCCGGGCAGUUAAACGAGCAGAUGAGAGAGUUCAUCUAUUUCGAGGUCACGCACAACAUUUUAGACCAGACUCCUAUGAUCUUCGGUACAAUGAAUAAAGGUAUCUUGGAGCUGUUGGAUGAGAGACUGAGUGCAUUCCGUACUGAGGUGGCCGCCAUGAUGGGGUCGCGCACGCUGAUGUUCAGGGAGUUUCGAGCUUGCGGAGCUCCAGACUACCAUAGGGCUCGGGACCCCAUUGCUAGUAGUAGGUGGUUGGAUGAUGUUGCCAAUGCCUUCCCCACGAGUCAAUUUCCUGAAGGGGACAAGGUUCGACUCGC